CCUCUCUGCCUACUUGUGAUCUCUGUCUGUCAAAUAAAUAAAUAAAAACUUAAAAAAAAUGUUUACCCACCCAAGGGAUAUUUUGGGGCACCUUUUUAUUUUCAAGAGAAUCAGUGUCUAAAUUAGGAAAGCUUAGUUUGAGAGGCUGCUCCACUUUACUCCAUCGUAAAAUGGAGUGCCUGCUUGGGUCAGGGUGAACCAAGCAGCAACCCAGAGGCCAUUCCACUAUGGACUCCCCAUCACAUGGGCUUAGAGAAGACAAUGCCAAGUGUAUGGACAUGUGAAAUCCACCGGCAGCGUCCAGCUUUAAAGAUGGACAGGUAACAAGUAUUCAUAGAUGCCAACUUCCCAACUUCCCAAUCAGUUGUUCAAGAGCUCAUUAGCAGAGGUCUCCAAAUAAACUAAUUUGAAAUAUGGAUUGAACAGAGGUGAGCCUAGCUAGGCUAGCAACACAAGCCACACUAACCCGGGCCUCGGUUCCAGAUGGAAUGGCUGCAGCAAGAGCAAGCGACGAAAAUACAGAAGCACUGGAUGGCGAUCAGCAGGAGGAAAGGUUCCUCUUUGCCAUCCAGUCUCGAAAGCACAGAUGAGUGAGCGUUUCUCUCCGAAAGAGGCUGAAGGCUGCAGAGCUCAUUGCUGUGUUCCUUCCUCUCUCCUUCCUUUCCCAGUCUUUUUCUUCUUUAGCAAUGAUGAUAGAAUUUCCUGGGCGAAAUAAUCCUUUCUUUUUAAACUGGAACUUUUUGGCAGAAUGUCACAAUGUUCUACUGUCCUCAGAGCUCAACAUACUGGGCCUUAGAAACUUUCCAGGGGAGAGACAAUAAGGCCACAGUCUGCACAGAGCCUUCUGUGUGGCUGUGACAGUGAGGACAAAAACAAUCAUGUUAAUGUUGUUGAUUAGGAUUGGGCUUUUUUUUUUUCUGCUGCUUCUUUGUCAUAGUUUUUCACUAUCCUAUCUACAUUUUUAAAGAACCCUAUGUAUGUCCCCAUCCAGAGAAAUUUUUUUUUAAAGAUUUUUUUUUUAAUUUAUUUGACAG
Long non-coding RNA from Mustela erminea (ermine), 1034 nucleotides. RefSeq lists it as uncharacterized. Lineage: Eukaryota; Metazoa; Chordata; Mammalia; Carnivora; Mustelidae. The transcript is spliced from 3 exons. The record is from RefSeq and is a predicted model, not a curated record.